GCGGCCAUGGUGUAGAGGCAACACAGCAGAUUGUGGAUCUGUUAUCAGGGGUUCAAUUCCCCUUGGCCGCCCCA
RNAcentral lists this transfer RNA (74 nucleotides) under Candidatus Margulisiibacteriota bacterium. RNAcentral describes it as "tRNA-His". It matches the Rfam family "tRNA". From Rfam's summary of the family: Transfer RNA (tRNA) molecules are approximately 80 nucleotides in length. Their secondary structure includes four short double-helical elements and three loops (D, anti-codon, and T loops). Further hydrogen bonds mediate the characteristic L-shaped molecular structure. tRNAs have two regions of fundamental functional importance: the anti-codon, which is responsible for specific mRNA codon recognition, and the 3' end, to which the tRNAs corresponding amino acid is attached (by aminoacyl-tRNA synthetases). tRNAs cope with the degeneracy of the genetic code in two manners: having more than one tRNA (with a specific anti-codon) for a particular amino acid; and 'wobble' base-pairing, i.e. permitting non-standard base-pairing at the 3rd anti-codon position. The record is from RNAcentral. Lineage: Bacteria; Bacillati; Candidatus Margulisiibacteriota.